UUUGCCAUUGAUCAUUUUCGAAGAACGUACGGUGACCUGCAUUCUUUCUUAACGUCCACGUCAUUUCGUCUCUUCGUUUCGUAUUCAAAAAGAAUAAUAAUAAAAAAGACAGAUAAUGUCGCUAAUAUAUAUUUACUACAGCCAAGUAAAUAAACUCAUCAUAGAUAACAGGAUUAAAAUUCUAUAUUAAAGCCAGACGCGCGUUUCGUCUACAAAAAACUCAUCAGUGACGCUCGAAUCAAAAAAUGUUAAAAGGCCAAAUAAAGUACAAAGUUGAAGAGCAUUGAGGACCAAAAAUUUCUAAAGGUUUUGCCAAACACAGCUAAGGUAAUCUAUUCUUGGGGUAGAAAAGCCUUAUACAUUGUUAUUAACACAUUCCCUUUUCAACUAAACUGAUUUGACAUGAAACAACACACUCGUAAUUAAUUAAACAUUUUAGUCAUUUUUAGUUUAGUUAAUUAUUCCAUGAUUGUUUAACAACAAGACAAAGGCUGCUGAAAACAGGAGAGCUACUACAAUGUUGCGUUCAAAACUGCUGAUUUUGACAGGUUCUUGUGUUCUGUAGUUAAACCACUGACCCAAC
This 583-nucleotide long non-coding RNA is filed under the name Mytilus galloprovincialis (Mediterranean mussel). Lineage: Eukaryota; Metazoa; Mollusca; Bivalvia; Mytilida; Mytilidae. The record is from RNAcentral.